CCUACGGGAGGCAGCAGUGGGGAAUAUUGGACAAUGGACCAAAAGUCUGAUCCAGCAAUUCUGUGUGCACGAUGACGUUUUUCGGAAUGUAAAGUGCUUUCAGUUGGGAAGAAAAAAAUGACGGUACCAACAGAAGAAGUGACGGCUAAAUACGUGCCAGCAGCCGCGGUAAUACGUAUGUCACAAGCGUUAUCCGGAUUUAUUGGGCGUAAAGCGCGUCUAGGUGGUUAUGUAAGUCUGAUGUGAAAAUGCAGGGCUCAACUCUGUAUUGCGUUGGAAACUGCAUGACUAGAGUACUGGAGAGGUAAGCGGAACUACAAGUGUAGAGGUGAAAUUCGUAGAUAUUUGUAGGAAUGCCGAUGGGGAAGCCAGCUUACUGGACAGAUACUGACGCUAAAGCGCGAAAGCGUGGGUAGCAAACAGGAUUAGAUACCCGAGUAGUC
RNAcentral lists this ribosomal RNA (443 nucleotides) under uncultured Fusobacterium sp. RNAcentral describes it as "bacterial SSU rRNA". It matches the Rfam family "Bacterial small subunit ribosomal RNA", at positions 338 to 795 of the family's 1533-position model. Lineage: Bacteria; Fusobacteriati; Fusobacteriota; Fusobacteriia; Fusobacteriales; Fusobacteriaceae. The record is from RNAcentral.